This 63-nucleotide transfer RNA is filed under the name Alboglossiphonia lata. RNAcentral's name for it is "tRNA-Trp". The record is from RNAcentral. Lineage: Eukaryota; Metazoa; Annelida; Clitellata; Rhynchobdellida; Glossiphoniidae.
AAAACUUUAAGUUAUAUAAACUAAAAACCUUCAAAGUUUUCAAAAGAUAUUAUCUAAGUUUUG